Molecule: long non-coding RNA, 747 nt
Organism: Fukomys damarensis (Damara mole-rat)
Lineage: Eukaryota; Metazoa; Chordata; Mammalia; Rodentia; Bathyergidae
Exons: 3
Source: RefSeq, a predicted model, not a curated record
CGCGUUACCCUUUGGGCGGGGACCUGGAGGGGAAUCUCUUGGAGCUGCCAGGCAGUCUGGGCGGGGAUGGGUUCCUAAGCAGCCAGAAUUGAUGUCCAAGGUGUUUAAGACCCGCUGUUUGUCCUCGAGUUUGUCCUCGACAGCAAGGAAUAUAUACACCUGCCAGCCACCUGCACUCCGGCUUUUGGGUGGUGGAAUGUAACGAUAAUUGAGGGACAAUGGUACAAAUCUACAUAAAAGUGAUGUUUCAGGACCACGGACAGUAUCACGGCGUGCUCCUCCCACCAAACGUUUUCCUUAGGCUCAGCCUAUGGAAACAAGAGAAACACUCUAAAGAAGGUAACCGCUGUGCUUGUGGAAACAAAUACUGAAUGCUGAAAGAUUUGUGCCAAACGACACGAAGUAAAAGGAAAAAGAAAAAGUAUAACGUGGACUGGAACCAGCAGGAAAGAAGUAGGCCUUUAGCUAGAUUUUGAAGAAAGAAUUGAUAAGAUUUAGAGGCAUUGCAAGACCCUAAAGUGGCUAGAUGAGAACAAUUUAGCUAGCGGAGUGCUUCAAUAAAGAACAGAAAUAUCACACUUUACGACUACACAGCAUCUUCCUGGAGGCAGAGGGCACCGCUACUUUUAAAUAUCCCAAGAAUGUGGAAAGGGCAAAGUAGUCCCAGUUAAAUGAGGUAGAACAUUCACUUUUAAGAUUGACACUUCAUUAUUAUUGUUGUUGUUGUUGUAACUUUUCAUUCUCCAU